GCUUUUCAUUUCUCUCAAUUUGCAAUCUCUGAGUCGAUUGGAAGCAUAACUUGUACGGAAAUUGUAAUCUAAGAGAACUAACUCUAGGAAAAACGAGAAGGAAAUCGGAUUGAAGAUGUAGAGAAGUUGCAGACUGAGAAAGCUUACAAGGAGGUGAAGAAAGGAAAAGAGGACAGAAAUUAGCGGCGGCAGCGAACGGAGAGAGGAAGUGUCGGCGCCGGCGGUCAAAGUCAAGUAAUGGCGUCAAUGGAAUCGAUGACGAUGAGGAAGACGAAAAUUGUUGGGUAAAGAAGAUUGUAGAAGAAGUGAGAUAGUUCAAAUUGAGCUUACGAUUUCGAGAAAUUAGGGUUCCGAUUGAUCUGAAAAUCGCCAUUGAUGUAGCAGCAUUUUCAUGCACAUCGAGAUGGACUAAGAUUUUUUUGCAAGGG
Molecule: unclassified non-coding RNA, 428 nt
Filed under: Hevea brasiliensis (rubber tree)
Lineage: Eukaryota; Viridiplantae; Streptophyta; Magnoliopsida; Malpighiales; Euphorbiaceae
Source: RNAcentral